ACUGGUGCUCUCUAUCUGAUGCAGCCAGACUGAAGUAUGAGCAACACUGCCUGGGGGUGAGCAGUGCACACACUGCACCACUGUCCGGGGAGGCUCUGAGUCAGAGUCAAAGCAAAGGCCUGAGAGCUCCCAUCAGAGAGGUCCCAUCUCUUGGGCUGGGCUGGGUAUGUGGUGAAAAUGGAGGCAGGAGGGUGACUCGGAACCUGGACAGCAGUGAUGGGUCCCCAUCCAUGGACACUGGAAUUUAGGGUGGAAGACUGGCAUUUGGAAAGGCAGGCUGACUUCGCUGGACUGACAGCUGGACAGAGAGCUGGCUCGGCCUUCCUUGGUGUGGGAACUGCCUGGGAGACUCAGCAUAAAGGAGCAGAGGUGGAUCGCUCCUGCAGGCAUGUGGUUCCCAAAACAGAAAAGGGGACAGGUUUACCAAAUCAGCUAAUGGAAAAAUACAGAAAGAUGCAGAAGGCUCUCUACUGGGCAUCUCUGGGAAGCACUAGGUAAGUAAAACCUGUCCUGUGUUUGAGGAUCUUACAAUCUGGUUGAGGAUCUGAGAUGUGGGGUUUCUGAGACAGGUAGAAGGACCUCAAGGGAGCAUGGGGUUCCUUCUCCCUCCCCAUUGUUCUCAUGUAAACAACCACAGCAUAAACCACCUCAAAUUGUCUUCAAAGCGACUAUCAAUCUAUAUGUCCACAUCUGUCUCUAUGUUCAUAGACACAUGUACCUCCAAAACAUAAAACAGAAAACAUGUGCAUCUUCAUUACAAAGUGAAACCAGAAAUUAACCACAUCCCAGCAUCCAUGAGGGAUUUUUGCAAAUGCAGUGUGGACAGGACUACACAGAACACAUCACUGAUUGCUAGGAAAUGCUUCACAUCCAGAGACAAAUAAUGCCUGGAAAGGAAGCUUGGCUGUGCCACACAAUAGCCCACUAGCACCCUCUCAUUCAAAAGCAUGGGCUCACAGGCACGGUGGUGCACACCUAUAAUCCUCAGCUACUCGGGAAGCUGAGAUGGGAGGACUGUUUAAGCCCAGGAGAUCAAGACCAGCCUGGGCAACAUAGCAAGACCCCUGUCUCUCUUAAAAAAAAAAAAAAAAAAAAACCUUAGCUGAGCAUGGUGGCACAUGGCUGAUGGCUGUAGUCCCAGCUACUCGGGAGGCUGAGUGGGAGGAUCUCUUAAGCCUAGGAGUUUGAGACUUCAAAGAGCUAUGAUCACACCAUUGCACUCCAGUCUUGGCAAUAGAGUGAGACCUUGUCUUUAACAAAAACAAAAAUAAAAGCAUAGGCUCUUAGGAGAUGGGGCCUACAGCCUGCCUGGAGUGCUCUAAAGCUCCUAAGUUGCCUUUCCCUCCCACCUGCACAGCAGAGGCACUAAGCUUCACCAGGGCAUGCAACUUGCUCCUGAUGAGUCGGACAUUCUAGGUAGAGAGCCAGGGGUGUGUAUAUGGUGUGUGUGUGUGUGUGUGCGCACAUGGGAAUGCAUGCAGAGGGCACAAACACUUCCCCUGGAGUCCCAUCAGCAUCUCUUCUAGGAAGUCAGACUGGUGGUCAAGAUGAGAAGACGCUCCAAGCUGCUUCUACCAACCUGCCUGUCUUGACUGACAUCCAUCUCUCAUCCCCAGGUCACCCCAACUCCCAGAUUCCUGGAUCUCCAAACUAGUCAUCUACUACCAAUGCUAGGCUGACAAAUCAAAUACAAUAUGCCCAGUUAAAUUUGAAUUUCAGAUAAGCAACACAAAUUUUUAAGUGAAAGUAUGUCCCAAAUAUCCCACGGGAUAUGCUUAUACUAAAAAAUAUUGUUAUUUAUGUAAAAUUCAAAUUUUACUGGGCAUCCUGUUUCGGUUUGUUUGUUGUUUUCCUAAAACCCAUCUCUGAAUGAUUGAUCUGGCAUAUACACUAAUCUCAGCAAGGCAUAGCCAUUAACAACAGCACAGGGCUGUGGAACAAGCCGUCUGGUUUCUAACCCUAACCCCACCACUUUCAGGCCACAGAACACUGAGCAAGUCACUUAACCUUGCUGGGCCUCAGUUUUCUCAUCUGUAAAAUAGGGAUAAUACUGAAUCCCCCUAGUAUUUUCAUUUAUUUAUUUAUUUUUGAGAUGCAGUCUCACUCUGUCACCCAGGCUGGAAUGCAGUGGCAUGAUCUCUGCCCACUGCAACCUCUGCCGCCCGGGUUCAAGUGAUUCUCCUGCCUCAGCCUGCCGAGUAGCUGGGAUUACCGGCGCCUGCCACCAUGCCCGGCUAAUUUUUGUAUUUUUAGUAGAGAUGGGGUUUCACCAUCUUGGCCAGGCUGGUCUUGAACUCCUGACCUUGUGACCCACCUACCUCGGCCUCCCAAAGUGUUGGGAUUACAGGCGUGAGCCACUGUGCCCGGCCAUAUUUUUAGGUAUUCAAAUACUGAGAGGAGGAGAAGAGGAUGACGCUCAGGCUGGGUGAGUCUGGGGAAGAACGAUGUGAGCAGAUCUGGACAGCCAAAAUAGUCAUCAUCUUUACCAUCCACCCUUCCUAAUGCAGAUGAACUUUCAAAAGAAUGCCAAGGUAAUAUAACCUAGGGGGGCUCUUCUGUUUUUUUUUUUUUCUGAACAGUCAUAAAAACACAGAAUUCAUGCAUUAUAAACAGAUAAAAUCUUCCGACAAGCUGGCAGAAUUGUAGCCCCCAAACAGCAACAUAUUAAUGGGAAAAUAGCAGGUGCACGGUUCCCACGUCAGCUUCUACUCCUGCUCCUGCUGGUUUACUUGGCAGCCACCCUGGCAGUCGUGAAAAUGACUGACACGUCUAUUUUCACAUGUUUGUAUGCCAAGAAUAAGACUGGAAGCCUUGACUGAAACAAUUGGCUUUUCUCACUGCAGGACAUGAUUGUCCAGUGUGCAGAGGGAAUGGGAGGUAGGAGGAGGUGUUGGUGCCUCUCCUCCGCUGCACUGACAGGCCCCUCUCCCUUUCCAGACCGGACCGUCCCUUGGGGAUACAGAUUUUGUUGUUAGUUCCCUUCCGACCCAUAAACACAUGUUUGUAAAUUCUACUGCCUCAUCCCUUUCUCCUUCCCCAUCCAGAUGGGUGCUGAAAAGCCAAUUUUAGUGAAUGUCAAGGGCAAUGUGAUUUGGAAAGAGAGUUGUCACCCCACCUGAGUAAUGCUCAUGGACAAGACACGGGCAGAAGUGACAUCCAGUUUCCUCAUCCACGACUUCCUAAUCGAGCCUCUACUAUGUGCAGAUGCUUCAUGUGGGCAACAUGGAGUGAACUGGACAGACGAGUGCCUGCCCUCGGGAGCUUACAUUCUAGUUGGUCAGAAAGAAAACAGACAAGGAAAGAACCAACUGAAAGAAUAUAGCUGCAUAUUUGCAAUGUUCCUGGGAGAACCACUUGUUAUUGAGUGGUGGGGCCUGGGAGACAAUGGGUUGCAUUUCGGAAAAACCAUAGACAAGUUUCUUGCUCACUGGGGACAGAGCUCAGAGUUCUCAGUUCUCCACACAGGAUCUCCUUCCAAAAAGGAAGGGAUCUGCAGACUAUGUAUUAUGGUUAAGUAACCAGAUUGUAAACUGUCACAUGCAGCUCAUAAAACCAGCCUCGAGGUUGUGCAUCAUGGAUGGAGGAAGUCCAGGUUCACAUUCCAGAGUGACCACUGAUGUUUUGUGUUCAGCAACUGGGCUUCCCAUUUCACACCAGGGUUCUUUGUUUCAUAUGUUGACAUUCGAGAGAGGAUUCUUGGAAUUAACUGUGAUGUUUGCUUGAAUCUUGUUGAGAACAUGAAUCACACAGUUUCUCAAAGGUUAUUCUUUUUCAGAAGAAAAGUUAUUUCACAGGAAGGCAGGACCUCAGGAUUUUCCAGAGCCUGGAGUCUCCUUUGCUGGCACAGAGCUGAAUUGUCAUGGCUUGAAGAUUUUCAUUUCUUACUCAAUUUAUUGGAGCAAGCCUUACGCUUGACCAGCAUCGGCAAACAGAUAGGCGGGUGUUCAGCUGGGACCCUGCAGAGAUGACUGUAGAUUCCACCAAUGUCUCUCACAGAAGGAACUCCAGGUCCAGUCCCAGGAAGGCAGGGAGAGGAGGAACAGAAAAGGCAGGGAAGUUGUCAAUCAGCUCAGGACAAGGAAGCUGGGGAUGAGGGGCCAAGCUGGAGUCAGAGCUUCAGUGGGAGCUUCAUCCUCAGCUCUUGAUAGGGCCAGGGGUCUAAGAAAAACUAUUUUGCCAUGCUCACCUCUCAGCAUGGUGUGGUUGAUCAUGUCAGGAGCGCACACGAGCUGAGGAAUUCUGAAGCUGCCUGUCAUCAAAGGAGGUCCGUGGAGUAGGGAGUAAUCUGGUGGGCUUCCUGUUGGGCUGCUGGGUGUCACAUGCUUUGCCUGCAGCAGGGCAGCUCUCAUUGCUCUGGGAGAAUUUAGGGGCAUCAGGGAUGGUCACUGGGCUUCUCCCAGGAUUUCUGGGUUUUUCCUCUUUUCUGUUCUAUUCAGUUGCUGAUCUUUGCUUUUGCUUAAGGCCCUGAAGUGAAAUUGGAGUUGAGGUGAAUCUUGUCACAAAUUGAAUUAAGACCACACCUUCAUCCUUGUGAACAAACGUUGCAAUUCUGCAACUGUGGCGACUUGGAAGCAUUCAGGGCAUUCUGUUAGCUGCCUGGGAACUGAUUAUGCAUUGGCACAAAAAUCAAUAGCAGUGACUUGGAAUCAUUCUUUCCCCAUGAUUUUCUUCUUUUAAAACAUUGUGUUUUAAUUACAUUGUACAUACUCUGGAAAAUAUAACUCAAUUUUUAAAAUCACAUAUAAAUGACCACCUAGAGCUAACCACACAAGACUUUGCUACUUAGCAUUUUCUAUCAUCCAUCUAUUUGUAUUUUUAUUCAAAAAUGGAUCAUAGUUUACAUAUUAUUUUGUAACUGUAGACUAAUACUUGACAAGGAUUGCUUCUAGCAGUGGUUUAAUUAAUUCUGCCCCAAUUUGCUUAGUUACAGACAUAUUAUACUCAGUUGUAGAUCAGAAGAUGGUUCUUAGGAAGACUUUGAGGCAAAGAGGUAGAGUGGAUUAUUGGAAAAGGGUCACGACUCCCCACAAGAGAUUGGCCACCCUGUAAUGAACUAUUUGCGUUUGCAAAUACCUCUAUCUCUGAGAUCCUAGGGUCUCAUAGAGUCUUCUCAUUUCCUACUUACAUGUCUUUGUGGAAACCACAUCAUCGAUAGCAUUUUCAGGAUAAGCAACUAUUCCAGGAGACAAGUAUGGAGGUAACUGAAUAUACUUAUAUUUUCCCCUCUCUCUUUUUUAAUGUUGAGGACAUAGCAACAAAAUCUAUUGAUUUUGUGUAUGCUGACAUCAGUUGAUUAAAGUUAGCCAGUAAUCCUAAUCCACACUGUAAUGUGAUUCUUUGUUAGUCCUUUUCCCUGUCUCAAGUGUAUUUGAGCCUCAGAAAACCUCACGUUUAGGGGUCAACUUUUGCAGGCUUGUAGAUCCAAAGUCAGGCCCCUUGUGGGUUCUGGUCAACUUUCUGCAUCAGAAUAAUGAGCCUGAGAUGUAAGAGUUGGGGUUGGCAUAGAGGGACGAAGAGUGACUACAAUGAAUAACAAGGUCAAAACAGGCUUCCAAGGUUUCCAGAACCAACCAGCCUCGGGGCUCCAGUAAGUGAUUCACAUUCCCUUCCCCUUUGUUACAAAUGUUUCUCAUUGUUGAAUACCUUUGACUUGUUAGGGCUGAGCCCUUUUCUCUAAAUAGCUGACAGAUGAGUUGUCAGUCGAAAAAAAUCUUUAAUGAGAGAAAGUACUGUUGCCUGGCUUCAUGUUCUUAAAUUAUGAUGGUAUCUCCUGUCUAAUCAGGGCAGAAAGAACGAAAAUCUCGGAAAGUUUCUUGACAGGGGACUAAAUGGCAUGGCACACAGGUGCUCUUGUCGUGCCAAGUCAGAGUUCUUCUCCAAAUGCUCUGAGAUUGAGUCCGCUCUGCAAUUAACCUUCUCCCCUAGCUGUCACUACUACAUGUCACAUCCAGUCUAUGCUGUUAUCUGCUGUGUAUUUGUGCUGAAUGGCUUUCUAGAGGUGGUCCCAGGAAGAACGGUGCAAGCAUCCCAAAGCCCUCUGCUCUGAUGGGCAAUAAAUGAAAUAGCCAGCAUAUGCCCUAGAGAGGGCGAAAAAAGUCCAUUGCAGGGGACAGUUUCUUAGAGCAAUUGACCAAGAACUUGGCACCAGGGAGGAGAACUUUACUGAUUCCAGAGUCAGAAGACAUGGAUGGAUGAUCUGUUUACAUAUUACUGAACAUUUUAUUUUCAAUAAUUUGCUAACAGUUUUGUAAUAAGCAUAUUUAUGCAUAAACUUUAUGAUAAGGAUUAUUUCCUUGGAAAAAGGCCCAAGAAGGGUUAUAUACUAGAAAGUAUUUUGAGAUUAUUUAUUUAAUUACCAGGAGAGUACUGAUUUCCUCCUAGCCAUUACUUCUUGCCAUAAAUAAAAUAUUACUCAAUGGCUCCUCAAAAUCUUCAGGGAUCCGGGCUACAUUUAUUUUUCUGCUUUGCCAUCUUUAUUUUUAGCUUGUGCCUUUCUGUCUCAUGACCACAAGAUGGCUGCUGUGCCUUCCAGGAUAUGGUAUCUCCGUUCCAGAUGGGGUGAAAGGUAGGGUUGAGGGCAAAGCUUAGUUUAUUACCCCAGGUAAGCCUUCCCCAAGGUCUUUUGCUUAUACCCUGUAUUAGUCCGUCCUUGCAUUGCUAUAAAGGCAUACCUGAGACUAGGUAAUUUAUAAAGAAAAGAGGUUUAAUUGACUCAUGGUUCUGCAGGCUAUACAGGCUUCUGCUUCUGGGGAGGCCUCUGGCAACUUACAAUCAUGGUGGAAGGUGAAGGACAAGCAAGCAUCUCUUACCUGGCAGGAGCAGGAGGAAGAGAGCGAAGAGGAAGGUGUCACACACUUUUAAACAACCAGAUCUCGCGGGAAUUCUAUCACAAGACAGCACUAGGGGGAUGGUGCUAGACCAUGAGAAACACUCCCAUUGUGUCUGGAAUUGGUGGGUUCUUGGUCUCACUGACUUCAAGAAUGAAGCCGCGGACCUUCGCGGUGAGUGUUACGGGUCUCAGAGAUGGUGUGUCCAGAAUUUGUUCCUUCUGAUGUUCGGACAUAUUCAGAGUUUCUUCCUUCUGGUGGGUUCCUGGUGGGUUUCUGGUCUCGCUGGCCUCAGGAGUGAACCUGCAGACCUUCCCGGUGAGUGUUACAGCUAAUAAGGGCAGUGGGGACCCAAAGAGUGACCAGCAGGAAGAUUCAUGGCAAAGAGCCAAAAAAAUCACAGCUUCCACACUGUGGAACAAGACCCCACUGGGUUGCCACAGCUGGUUCCGGCAGCCCGCAUUUAUUCCCUAAUCCGACCCCACCCACAUCCUGCUGAUUGGUCCAUUUUACAGAGCGCUGAUUGGUCCAUUUUACAGAGCGCUGAUUGGUCCAUUUUGACAGGGUACUGAUUGGUGCCUUUACAAACCUUUGGCUAGACACAAAAGUUCUCCAAGUCCCCACUAGAUGAGCUAGACACAGAGCACUGACUGGUGCGUUUACAAACCUUGAGCUAGACACAGGGUACUGGUUGGUGUGUUUACAUUCCUCUAGCUAGACAUAAAAGUUCUCCAAGUCCCCACUAGACUCAGGAGUCCAGCUGGCUUCACCUCGGGGAUCCCGC
Molecule: long non-coding RNA, 7611 nt
Filed under: Homo sapiens (human)
Lineage: Eukaryota; Metazoa; Chordata; Mammalia; Primates; Hominidae
Description: non-protein coding lnc-ARL4C-12:2
Source: RNAcentral